AUUAAUUGACUUAUAUAGGCACAUGUUUUUUUCUUUUUUUUUCUUUUUGGCUUGUGCGAUUAAACGCCACCGGGUGUGGAGCCCAAUGGGCUGGAGGUUGUGCACCCAUCGGGCUGGCCCGCAUGGCCCAGAAAACAAGCGACGGAGACAGGACAGGCCCGGCCCAUGAGGCGUCGAGUUUUUGAAGAAUCAAUUCAAUUGAAUGCCGCACCCACGGCCGAACCGUCUGAAAGAGAAACAUACC
Molecule: long non-coding RNA, 244 nt
Filed under: Oryza brachyantha (malo sina)
Lineage: Eukaryota; Viridiplantae; Streptophyta; Magnoliopsida; Poales; Poaceae
Description: long non-coding RNA (OBRA_LNC000881)
Source: RNAcentral